This 713-nucleotide ribosomal RNA is filed under the name bacterium 116_oclvp532. Its description in RNAcentral is "bacterial SSU rRNA". It matches the Rfam family "Bacterial small subunit ribosomal RNA", at positions 52 to 763 of the family's 1533-position model. RNAcentral also lists the same sequence under 1 other name. The record is from RNAcentral.
UACAUGCAGUCGGACGGGAUUUGGGAGCUUGCUCCUGAUGAGAGUGGCGCACGGGUGCGUAACACGUAUGUAACCUACCUUAAUCUGGGGGAUAGCCUCUCGAAAGAGAGAUUAACACCGCAUAACAUUACACCACAGCAUUUUGGAGUAAUCAAAUAUUUAUAGGAUUAAGAUGGGCAUGCGGAACAUUAGCUAGUUGGUAAGGUAAUGGCUUACCAAGGCUACGAUGUUUAGGGGAUCUGAGAGGAUGGCCCCCCACACUGGUACUGAGACACGGACCAGACUCCUACGGGAGGCAGCAGUAAGGAAUAUUGGUCAAUGGGCGCAAGCCUGAACCAGCCAUGCCGCGUGCAGGAAGACGGCCCUAUGGGUUGUAAACUGCUUUUGUACCGGAAUAAACCCCCGAACGUGUUCGGGGUUGAAUGUACGGUAAGAAUAAGGAUCGGCUAACUCCGUGCCAGCAGCCGCGGUAAUACGGAGGAUCCGAGCGUUAUCCGGAUUUAUUGGGUUUAAAGGGUGCGUAGGCGGCCUAUUAAGUCAGGGGUGAAAGACGGUAGCUUAACUAUCGCAGUGCCUUUGAUACUGAUGGGCUUGAAUGUACUUGAGGUAGGCGGAAUGUGGCAAGUAGCGGUGAAAUGCAUAGAUAUGCCACAGAACACCAAUUGCGAAGGCAGCUUACUAAAGUAUGAUUGACGCUGAGGCACGAAAGCGUG